RNAcentral lists this ribosomal RNA (492 nucleotides) under uncultured bacterium. RNAcentral describes it as "partial 16S ribosomal RNA". It matches the Rfam family "Bacterial small subunit ribosomal RNA", at positions 29 to 507 of the family's 1533-position model. The record is from RNAcentral.
AGUGAACGCUGGCGGUAUGCCUAACACAUGCAAGUCGAACGGCACCACCGUAAGAGCUUGCUCUCACGGGCGUCGAGCGGCGGACGGGUCACGAAUACACCGGAUUCCACCUUUUCGUGGGGGAUAACGCCGGGAAACUUACUCUAAUACCGCAUACGUCCCAUGGGUGUAAGCAGGGGAUCUUCUGACCUUUCGCGAUUGAAUGAGCCGAUGUCGGAUUCGCUCGUUGGCGGGGUAAAGGCCCACCACGGCGACGAUCCGUCGCGGGUCUGACCGGAUGUUCCGACAGACUGGAAGUGAGACUGGGUCCAGACACCUACGGGAAGCAGCAGUGGGGAAUAUUGGGCGAUGGAGGAGAGGCGGAUCCAGCCAUACCGCGUGGGUGAAGAAGGCGUUCGGGUGGUAGAGCGCUUUUGUUGGGAGAGAAAAGCAGCAGGUUAAUACGCCACUGUUCUGACGGUACCCGAAGAAUAAGCACCGGCUAACUUCGUG